GGGGAUGUUACGGAUUCGACAUAGAUUUAUCCACGUGAGUGGCAUUCCGCAGGUAACGGCUGCGUCAUCAACGUCAAACAGUUAAAUAUAACUGCAAACAAUAAUGAAAAUAACUACGCUGUAGCUGCUUAAUAACCAGCUUAGCGUGAUCUGCUCAAUCUCUCCCAUGGAUUGAUGUCAGGUCUUAAAUGAGUGGGAUAGAUUAAUGAACUCACACCUGAAGUUCAUUAAUUGAAAUUAAUCGGGUUAGUCAUUAAGAUUGGCCGCGUUGCUUGGCGUACUUAAUGAUGAAAUGCCAAAUAAAGUGACUACGAGUGUAGAAGCUUGCGAUGGAAAAUGUAUGGACACGGGUUCGACUCCCGUCAUCUCCAU
RNAcentral lists this transfer-messenger RNA (372 nucleotides) under chicken gut metagenome. It matches the Rfam family "transfer-messenger RNA". Rfam says of the family: Bacterial tmRNA, also known as 10Sa RNA or SsrA, is named for its dual tRNA and mRNA-like properties. The record is from RNAcentral.